Molecule: ribosomal RNA, 151 nt
Filed under: Aeromonas media
Lineage: Bacteria; Pseudomonadati; Pseudomonadota; Gammaproteobacteria; Aeromonadales; Aeromonadaceae
Also listed under: 1 other name
Description: partial 16S ribosomal RNA
Rfam family: Bacterial small subunit ribosomal RNA
Source: RNAcentral
CUGAUGCAGCCAUGCCGCGUGUGUGAAGAAGGCCUUCGGGUUGUAAAGCACUUUCAGCGAGGAGGAAAGGUUGAUGCCUAAUACGCAUCAGCUGUGACGUUACUCGCAGAAGAAGCACCGGCUAACUCCGUGCCAGCAGCCGCGGUAAUAC